RNAcentral lists this ribosomal RNA (483 nucleotides) under uncultured bacterium. Its description in RNAcentral is "bacterial SSU rRNA". It matches the Rfam family "Bacterial small subunit ribosomal RNA", at positions 1 to 507 of the family's 1533-position model. The record is from RNAcentral.
AGUUUGAUCAGUGGCUACGAGGACGAACGCUGGCGGCGUGCCUAACACAUGCAAGUCGAACGGGGUAGUUCCUUCGGGGGACUACUUAGUGGCGAACGGGUGAGUAACGCGUGAGAAACCUGCCUUUCAGUGGGGGACAACAGUUGGAAACGACUGCUAAUACCGCAUAAUGUUAUUUGGGGGCAUCCUUGAAUAACCAAAGCUUUAUGUGCUGAAAGAUGGUCUCGCGUCUGAUUAGCUAGUUGGCGAGGUAACGGCUCACCAAGGCGACGAUCAGUAGCCGGUCUGAGAGGUUGAACGGCCACAUUGGGACUGAGACACGGCCCAGACUCCUACGGGAGGCAGCAGUGGGGGAUAUUGCGCAAUGGGGGAAACCCUGACGCAGCAACGCCGCGUGAAGGAAGACGGUUUUCGGAUUGUAAACUUCUUUUAUAAGGGACGAAAUUGACGGUACCUUAUGAAUAAGCUCCGGCUAACUACGUG